Non-coding RNA from Python bivittatus (Burmese python), 658 nucleotides. NCBI's taxonomy places the organism in Eukaryota, Metazoa, Chordata, Lepidosauria, Squamata, Pythonidae. The record is from RefSeq and is a predicted model, not a curated record.
UCACACAGGUGAAAAGCCAUAUGUUUGUGAGGACUGUGGGGCAUCUUUUGCUGAUAAAGGCAAACUCAAUGGUCAUAAGAGGACACAUACAGGAGAACGCCUCUUCAGAUGCGAUGUGUGUGGGAAACAUUUUGCUACCAAUGAAUAUUUAAAAUGUCACAAGCGUUGUCACAUGGGAGCUAAGCCAUACAAGUGUGAUGUGUGUGGAAAAACCUUUGGAUUGAGAGCUUCAUUAGCCCAACAUAGUAAUGUGCACGCAGAGACUCCUCCUUAUUUCUGUGAGCAGUGUGGAAAGACAUUUACUCAGCAAGGAGCCCUAAGACGUCACCAGCGUAUUCACACUGGAGAGAAGCCCUACAAAUGUAGGGCUUGUGAGAGAACUUUCACAGAUAUGUCUACCCUGAGGAGGCACGUAUUGGUACGUUCGCUGGUUUGUGCUACAAAUUUUGUCUGCAGGAAUAGGUAGUUUUAUGUCCUGAGGUCAUUAAAAGAGUUCCCUCACUGAGUUGUUGCUGUUGUUUUUAAAGCAGUGCGUGGCAUUGCAAUCAUCUUUCAUUCCCGUCGCUCCGUGCAGUGUGGCCCAGCUGCUGGGGUAGGGAGACAAAAGCAAAGGCACCUCUGCACAGGCAGAGAAAACUGACAAUGCCCCAGUGAUUUC